UGAGUAAAUUUAACCAAUAAUCACUGAACUUUACAUUUGAUUACUACUUGCUCACUCAUCUUUCACAUAUUACUGAAUGCUCACUUAUCUUUUCAUAUAAUUACUCAUUCAUCACCCGUCUCUUCAAAUAAUUGGGCGACUUUUACGGCAAAUUUUCGACAACUUCCGACCACAAAGAAUGUCGAAUUUUGAUACCGUUGGAAAGCCCACGAUGUCCUCUUCAAUUACCACCCAAAAUCUCAUUAUAACUCCAAGGGAUUCGAUCGAAAAAUUGCCUUAAAAGUCGCCCAAAAAUUUUGAAAAUCUGCCAAGAUUUUCAAAAUUUUUGGGCGACUUUUAAAGCAAUUUUCGAUCAUCAAAACUAUCUAAUUUUGAUACCAUUGGAAAGCCCACAAUGUCCUCUUCAAUUACCACCCAAAAUUUCCCGAUAACUCCAAAGGAUUCGGUCCGAAUAAACCCACAAAAUCAGCAUCUUGAAAAUGCGAAAAUCUGGACAAAGUUCGGGAUGUUGACUUUGUGAGUUUAUUCCGACCGAAUCCUUUGGAGUUAUCGGGAAAUUUUGGGUGGUAAUUGAAGAGGACAUUGUGGGCUUUCCAAUGGUAUCAAAAUUAGAUAGUUUUGAUGGUCGAAAGUUGCCGAAAAAUUGCCUUAAAAGUCGCCCAAAAAAUCUGAAAAUCUUGGCAGAUUUUCAAAAUUUUUGGGCGACUUUUAAGGCAAUUUUUCG
Molecule: long non-coding RNA, 724 nt
Filed under: Olea europaea subsp. europaea
Lineage: Eukaryota; Viridiplantae; Streptophyta; Magnoliopsida; Lamiales; Oleaceae
Source: RNAcentral